Phascolarctos cinereus (koala) is the source of this 744-nucleotide non-coding RNA. Lineage: Eukaryota; Metazoa; Chordata; Mammalia; Diprotodontia; Phascolarctidae. The record is from RefSeq and is a predicted model, not a curated record.
GCAACAUUUUAUAUUAAGGCAACAGAGAAAGGAAUGGCAAAAAAGAAUGUGGACUUGCAUCUCCAGCUCACCUUGAGACACAGGAAGACAGAGAUGUGAGGGAGGAAUGAAUCUUCUUUACUUCAUCAUUCACCAAACAAGGCAGCAAGAUGACAUUUGGGGGACAAGGCACCACUCCAAUUCUUAGUUUCUCCAAGUGAUCGCCUUGCAAAAGAGGGUCCCAGAAUCAGUGCCUGAGCAAGGAUAGGCAACACUUGCUGGAGCAGCCUGGACAGGAAUCAGCUCUGGAUUCAUGAAACGGCAGAGAGAGUUUGCAGAGCAGCACAGAGAGAGCAGCUGACUGACCGUGGUCCUUCUCCGGGGCCCACCUGUGUGGCUAACUGCCCUGUGAUCACCAGUCAGCAGGGGCACAUAAACAGCAAGGGCAGCAGCCCUCCUCACCCAACGAAACAGGCAAUUGAAGCAAUUGCACGUGAAAUUCACAUUCUUACAAAUUACCUUGAAACAAUUAUACAUAAAAUCCAGGACUUGAUUCCCUUCCCUAUUUGCCAACCUCUGGGUAUCAAGGCCAAAAGGGGGCACUGGGGUGUGAUUUAUCUGUAUUGUCCAAAUUUAUUCAAUGUCUUACUCUUUUUUGUUUCUCUGUGGAAGCCGCAGACCCCUAAAUGCUUUUCUACCGCAUUUGCAUACAAUGUGGUUGGUUUCUUGGUUACUAUUAAGGGUGUGUAUGUAUGUAUGUAUAAU